CAACCCUCAAGCUUUUGCUUGGUAUUGGGUGGCCAGUCCCUUAGGACUCACCCGAAAAGCAGCGGCGAUUCAGCUAGACUUUGAGCGCAUUAAAUAUUUUAUUAUUCGCUUUGAAGCUUCUGGGUGAUAUUUGCCGGACAACCCCACCUAAUUUUUCUAU
RNAcentral lists this unclassified non-coding RNA (160 nucleotides) under uncultured Ascomycota. RNAcentral's name for it is "sequence contains ITS2". Lineage: Eukaryota; Fungi; Ascomycota. The record is from RNAcentral.